AGUUAUUAAUGACCGCUGAGCAGGCAGCACCAUGUCAGUGUGACAACUGAUCGGGUGAACGAUGCACCACUAACCACCAUGGAAACAAGGAAAAAUAAAGCCAGCUCACAGGAUCUCUCUUCACUGGAUUGAGAGCCUCAGCCUGCCGACUGAGAAAAAGAGUUCCAGGAAAAAGAAGGAAUCCCGGCUGCAGCCUCCUGCCUUCCUUUAUAUUUUAAAAUAGAGAGAUAAGAUUGCGUGCAUGUGUGCAUAUCUAUAGUAUAUAUUUUGUACACUUUGUUACACAGACACACAAAUGCACCUAUUUAUACCGGGCAAGAACACAACCAUGUGAUUAUCUCAACCAAGGAACUGAGGAAUCCAGCACGCAAGGACAUCGGAGGUGGGCUAGCACUGAAACUGCUUUUCAAGGCCUGAAGCUCCUGGGAUCUAAUUCCCUGAGGAACAAUGGAAGAGGCACUGUUUCCCAACUGGUACAAAACAGGACUUCAGGAACAGCAGAAUGUGUUCUCCAGGGAUUAAGCCCCCUAACGUGAAGCUUGGGACUCACAACACUUA
This 558-nucleotide long non-coding RNA is filed under the name Homo sapiens (human). Its description in RNAcentral is "non-protein coding lnc-ZNF277-4:1". Lineage: Eukaryota; Metazoa; Chordata; Mammalia; Primates; Hominidae. The record is from RNAcentral.